Coturnix japonica (Japanese quail) is the source of this 2606-nucleotide non-coding RNA. The record is from RefSeq and is a predicted model, not a curated record. NCBI's taxonomy places the organism in Eukaryota, Metazoa, Chordata, Aves, Galliformes, Phasianidae.
GUGCGAGGGUUAUCAAGGGCCGGGGGCUGCUCCCCCUGCUCCCACUUCCCCCCACCCGCCUCCCUGGACACCCCUCCCCAACCACCGCCCCCGGGGACACGCGGGGCUGCCCGGCAGUGCCCGCCCCCUUCGCUCGGGGUUCCUGGCGCUCCGGCGGUCAGGUCCCGUUCGGCGGGCACCUCUCUCGGAAAUGGUUUUGCCUUUGGACUGAGUGGGUUUAGAACAAGAAACGAGUUACCGCUUCAGAAGAAGUAUCGAAGUGGGGAAUUCUAGGACGGUUGUUUUCCUUAACGUGGGAAUUUUAUAUGCGCGCAUCCCGGCGUACACCUGCACCAUCUUCUCUCCGCCGGUGGGGCGGUCCGUGAGGCUGCCGGCGGAGCUCAGCCCGGCUGUGUCCUCGCGGCUGCGGGUAGCGAUAGCCGUGCGCGGCCCGAGGGGGACACCUAGUGACACACCUGGGCUGUCGCGUCUGUGGGAGAGACGUGAGGCUGCAGCCGGAGGAAGCGGUGCCCUUGGGAGCCACCUGAACGCAAGGCACGCAGAUUCACACAGAUGUCGAGUGGCUGAAGAUAUUUCCACUAUCCUCCGUACGUUCGAGUGAAUAAAGAAAUCAGACCACAAGAAAUUCAGCAUCCUUCCUAUCCUGCACUUACCUUGUAGAUUUUCUUGGUUUCAAAGCUUAUUUGAUGAUUUAAUGACAAGCAAUCAAACUGUCAUUCAAAUCAGCAUGAUGGAAUGUAAAUUUCACUGCAGGCAAGAGCAAGGUUACACAAUGGGAGAGACAAUCCUGCUAAACAGGCACUUAUUGAUGGGUUCCAAAAACAAACUAUACAGAAGAACAAGAUAGGGGUCAGGAUGAGCAGCUGGCUGAACUUCUGCUGAAUGUGGAACAAGGCAGACAAAACUCCAGGAAAGGCAAAGAAGAAAUAUGCUAAGUACAGCCCAUUGUUUAAGACUGUGCCACGACUUUCACCUUGUGUACUUAUUAUGCUUCCAGCAAUGACACUUGUUUAAAAUGCAGAAACACCCACCUAUCACCUAAGUGUCAUCAGUGAUGCGCUCUUCUCCAGCCAUGAAAGAAGUCAACUCUAGUCCUGAAAAAGGUCAUUCUAGGCUGAUAACUAAACCACACGUAGGAGAAAACAGAACAUCUGGCCAGAAGGAUGAAAGACCUCAAAGUGUAAAACUGCCUAUGAAAACCUUAAACAAAAUCUCCUGACAAAUGCAUUUAUUUCUACUUAGGAAAGAAAGCCAAAUUUGAGAGAUGGUCAGAUUAUUCUAUGUAGCAUUUGAAUGAAGAGGUGAGAAAGAGGAUGGCAGUGUCAAGCAUGAGCUGAUGAGAAGGAUUAAUUCUCAUUCAGGAAUAUAAAAAUGCAGCAGACACUGAUGAUGCUGUUGGAUCAGGGAGCAAUGGAAGAGCUGCAUAAUUUGAUAGUCAGGCUUGAUUGCCAUUUGAAAGUAGGUGGAAGAUACUACUUUACUCCAGAAAGGAUAUAAUAACAGAAGAAUAUAAGGGCUACAACUCUUCUCAAGUCUGGAAACUAGAGAAGCAACUUGGAAUGAGAAUUUGAUCUUACAAUUCAGGAUGUAUGGAACUGAACCGUGCACGUUCCUCUUUUUGUGUUUUUAAUGAACAACAUAAAAAUAAAAGUUUUGUUAAUUAUCUAUAAAAUAGAUUGUUAUUACUGCACAAUGGGUAAAUAGCAAUCAGUCCCUAGAGAUAAUGUUCCUGUACAGGGGAGGCAAGACAAAAAUAAAUAAACCCUUAACCACAAUAAAAUCCAAACCCAGUUUAAGAAAGCUUGUAUUUAUUUCAGCCUCAAUGGAGUCAGUUUGAAACUGUCAGAGAGACACUGUACACCUAUAUACAAAUUCAAGAACAUGGAGUAACUGUUACUUUUUAUUAACAACCAGUUUAAAUAAUAUGAUAGAAGUAUGUCCCUGACAAAGGGGGAACAAACGUGCUUCUUCAAGGUUUUUUAGCUGUUUUGGAUCUCAGCCGUCGCUUGAUGAUCAGAUGAUCACUUUCCUUCUUUUGUUCCUCAGAUUCCUGAAGAAAACAUUUCAAAAGUUACUCAUCUUUUUACACAAGUCUGACAAGCUCUUCUUGACCCACGCAAACAUAUUUCUUCCCCUAAAUGGAUUUCAGAAUGGAAUUUGCUUAUUAUACUUGUUUUGUGAAACAUGAAGCGUUCAGAAAACAUUUUUAGCCUCAAUCCCUGUAGCUAUGACUUGCCCAGAAUUUUCAGUUCUCGGGUUCAGUUCCAUGUUCUCAGAACUACAGUGAGAGAAGAAAUUGUCUCAUCUUCUUCAUCCUCUAACAAAAAAAAUAACAUUUUGGUUUCUGCCCCUAUCAUUCGUCAAAUCAUCAAAAAAUUCAGAGGGAUAUUACAGUAUGGGCAAAUGAUCACUAUGCUGAACAGAAAAAGGACUCUAAUAUAAUUAAAAGAUGCAGUUCCAACAGAGCAAGAAUGUUCUUAGCACAAUAGCUGCCGACAGAGUCAUGAAACUGGCACAUCAGAUCCUUUGCAAGUUGGCUUAGACAGGAGAUCAUAGUUUAAGCAUACCUAAAAAGCUGUCUAAGUUGUGCUCUAGAAAAGCGUGUA